AUGGUCGGUUUUCCAUGCGCUAUCUUGAACCUAUUCCGCGCUUCAACCAAGAGAGUCGGAAAGUUCUGCAUCAAAUGGAGGUACUCACUUGACGUCGCGACCAUCUUGAAAUUGUCACCAUCGGUGAGGAAAUCAAAGCACCUAGCUUUGAGUUUGGGGCAGACAUGGGCCUCCGCAAGUUCCAACAUUGAAACCACAGUGUCCGUCGUGAUACCAUUGCAACAUAGUUUGUCCUCACAGAUCUUCUUUAGCCCCUCCACCCCAUACCUAUCAGCGGCUACAAGCAGAUGCUGGUACUGUGCCAUGGGGGAAGAAUAUCCACCUUGCCAGCAUCAGGCAGCGAACUAUGAUAUAUGUAAUGGAGCAUUGAUCUGA
RNAcentral lists this ribosomal RNA (375 nucleotides) under Triticum aestivum (bread wheat). Its description in RNAcentral is "partial small subunit ribosomal RNA". Lineage: Eukaryota; Viridiplantae; Streptophyta; Magnoliopsida; Poales; Poaceae. The record is from RNAcentral.